This 497-nucleotide unclassified non-coding RNA is filed under the name uncultured bacterium. Its description in RNAcentral is "partial contains 16S ribosomal RNA, 16S-23S ribosomal RNA intergenic spacer, and 23S ribosomal RNA". The stretch from base 1 to 360 matches the Rfam family "Bacterial small subunit ribosomal RNA", at positions 501 to 1533 of the family's 1533-position model. The record is from RNAcentral.
CUCUAUUCCAGCAGCCGCGGUAAUACGUAGGUGGCAAGCGCUGUCCGGAUUUAUUGGGUUUAAAGGGUGCGUAGGCGGCCUAUUAAGUCAGUGCUGAAAUAUCCCGGCUUAACCGGGAGGGUGGCAUUGAUACUGAUGGGCUUGAGUGAAGUCGAGGUAGGCGGAAUUGACGGUGCCAGCAGCCGCGGUAAUACGUUCCCGGGCCUUGUACACACCGCCCGUCACAUCACGAAAGUCGGUUGCACUAGAAGUCGGUGGGCCAACCCGCAAGGGAGGCAGCCGCCUAAAGUGUGAUCGGUAAUUGGGGUGAAGUCGUAACAAGGUAGCUGUAGGAGAACCUGCGGCUGGAUCACCUCCUUUCUGAGGAGGAGUCUCCGCCUCGGAUCCAAACGAGGUCGUGAAGGCGACACCGUCUAGGUGUCGACCGAGUUUGCCCUAGGUCGACAGGAAUCGCCGUACGUUGACCUGCUUGUAUUUCCUGUUCAGUUUUCAGGGCA